Molecule: ribosomal RNA, 505 nt
Filed under: uncultured bacterium
Lineage: Bacteria
Description: bacterial SSU rRNA
Rfam family: Bacterial small subunit ribosomal RNA
Source: RNAcentral
GACGAACGCUGGCGGCGUGCUUAACACAUGCAAGUCGAACGGACGAGUGAGAUAAGUUUACUUAACUCACAAGUUAGUGGCGGACGGGUGAGUAACACGUGGAUAAUCUACCUGCAACACCGGGAUAACGCUGUGAAAACGGUGCUAAUACCGGAUACGUUCCCUUGUGCGCAUGUAUGAGGGAAGAAAGCUCAGGCGGUUGCAGAUGAGUCCGCGGCUGAUUAGCUAGUUGGUGAGGUAAAGGCUCACCAAGGCGAUGAUCAGUAGCCGGCCUGAGAGGGUGAACGGCCACACUGGGACUGAGACACGGCCCAGACUCCUACGGGAGGCAGCAGUGGGGAAUCUUCCGCAAUGGGCGCAAGCCUGACGGAGCAACGCCGCGUGGGUGAAGAAGGCCUUCGGGUUGUAAACGCCGUGUCUUAGUGGGAAGAAGUCAGUGACGGUACCAGUAGGAGGAAGCCACGGCUAACUACGUCGCCAGCAGGCCGCGGUAAUACGUACUUAC